AUGUGAUCCUAAAAUUCUAUCCCUUAACAAGAAGAAUUAUUUCGGUCAUGGAAUAAAAAGAUCCAAAGUUGAAGAUUAUCAUCCAAGCAUGCGAUAGUGGAAAAUGAAGAGAUCCUCCACUAAGCAUAUGAAAGUGGUGCACUAAGCAAUAAAAGAGCACCACUAUCUCUUCUUUUAUUUUGCAUUUUCCUUGUAAUAAUUCAGCCCCACUAUCAUGAUAGUUAGUAGCUGAAAUCCUUUUGUUUUCUUAGGAGUUACUUUUUGCUUAUUACAUNNN
This 277-nucleotide long non-coding RNA is filed under the name Trifolium pratense (red clover). RNAcentral's name for it is "long non-coding RNA (TPRA_LNC003710)". The record is from RNAcentral. Lineage: Eukaryota; Viridiplantae; Streptophyta; Magnoliopsida; Fabales; Fabaceae.